AUUGAACGCUGGCGGCAGGCCUAACACAUGCAAGUCGAACGGUAACAGGAAGCAGCUUGCUGCUUUGCUGACGAGUGGCGGACGGGUGAGUAAUGUCUGGGAAACUGCCUGAUGGAGGGGGAUAACUACUGGAAACGGUAGCUAAUACCGCAUAACGUCGCAAGACCAAAGAGGGGGACCUUCGGGCCUCUUGCCAUCGGAUGUGCCCAGAUGGGAUUAGCUAGUAGGUGGGGUAACGGCUCACCUAGGCGACGAUCCCUAGCUGGUCUGAGAGGAUGACCAGCCACACUGGAACUGAGACACGGUCCAGACUCCUACGGGAGGCAGCAGUGGGGAAUAUUGCACAAUGGGCGCAAGCCUGAUGCAGCCAUGCCGCGUGUAUGAAGAAGGCCUUCGGGUUGUAAAGUACUUUCAGCGGGGAGGAAGGGAGUAAAGUUAAUACCUUUGCUCAUUGACGUUACCCACAGAAGAAGCACCGGCUAACUCCGUG
Molecule: ribosomal RNA, 490 nt
Filed under: uncultured bacterium
Lineage: Bacteria
Description: partial 16S ribosomal RNA
Rfam family: Bacterial small subunit ribosomal RNA
Source: RNAcentral